Molecule: ribosomal RNA, 709 nt
Filed under: Leptolyngbya sp. IPPAS B-1204
Lineage: Bacteria; Bacillati; Cyanobacteriota; Cyanophyceae; Leptolyngbyales; Leptolyngbyaceae
Description: bacterial LSU rRNA
Rfam family: Bacterial large subunit ribosomal RNA
Source: RNAcentral
UUCGGGUGAAUCAGCGAGGACCACCUCGUAAGGCUAAAUACUCCUGUGUGACCGAUAGCGAAACAGUACCGCGAGGGAACGGUGAAAAGAACCCCGGGAGGGGAGUGAAAUAGAACAUGAAACCAUCAGCUUACAAGCAAUCGAAGCCCGAUUAAACGGGUGACGGUGUGCCUGUUGAAGAAUGAGCCGGCGACUUAUAGGCACUGGUAGGUUAAGACGGGAAUGUCGAAGCCAAAGCGAAAGCGAGUCUGAAUAGGGCGUUAAUCAGUGGUUAUAGACCCGAACCCGGGUGAUCUAACCAUGGCCAGGAUGAAGCUUGGGUAAAGCCAAGUGGAGGUCCGAACCGACCAAUGUUGAAAAAUUGGCGGAUGAGCUGUGGUUAGGGGUGAAAUGCCAAUCGAACCCGGAGCUAGCUGGUUCUCCCCGAAAUGUGUUGAGGCGCAGCGGUCAUGAUUAUAGUCUGGGGGUAAAGCACUGAUUCGGUGCGGGCUGCGAGAGCGGUACCAAAUCGAGUCAAACUCUGAAUACCAGAUGAACACAUGGCUAGUGAGACGGUGGGGGAUAAGCUUCAUCGUCAAGAGGGAAACAGCCCAGACCACCAGCUAAGGUCCCCAAAUCACAGUUCAGUGAUAAAGGAGGUGGGAGUGCAUAGACAACCAGGAGGUUUGCCUAGAAGCAGCCAUCCUUAAAAGAGUGCGUAAUAGCUCAC